AUGUCUUCCCCUGAAAUUUCUUCCCUCUCAUGAGGUCAAAUGAAAGUACAAGGCUCUUCUAAAAUCUAUAAGGACUACAAAGUAUAGCCAGGGGGAAGUCGGGCUUGGGACUGGAGAGAAACAGGAACUCAGCAUUCUCCUGGUGUGCAGCCUGCAGAUGUGGAGGAGGUUGUUGAGGAGGGUGUGCAGAUCCUUUUGACUGGCCAAGGGAUGAGUGAGGCCUUGAAGGUACCCCCAUCAACUGUGGAGUACCUCAAGAAAAAAGGCAUUGAUGUACAGGUCCUCCAGACAGAGCAGGCAGUGAAGGAGUAUAAUGCCUUGGUUACCCAAACCUUCAGGGUGGGAGGGGUCUUCCAUUCCACCUGCUGAUGGAGCCUUAAGAGAAUAAAUAACUAAGCAAUGAA
This is an RNA transcript of Hippopotamus amphibius kiboko, 404 nucleotides long. It is a transcript of the gene named mth938 domain-containing protein-like, with no coding region annotated. The record is from RefSeq and is a predicted model, not a curated record. The transcript has a single exon. Lineage: Eukaryota; Metazoa; Chordata; Mammalia; Artiodactyla; Hippopotamidae.